This 805-nucleotide ribosomal RNA is filed under the name uncultured bacterium. Its description in RNAcentral is "partial 16S ribosomal RNA". The stretch from base 1 to 446 matches the Rfam family "Bacterial small subunit ribosomal RNA", at positions 59 to 537 of the family's 1533-position model. The record is from RNAcentral.
AACAGCGAGUGAUCCUGGUCGGACGGACAAGGUACCAGGAGUUGAUCCUGGCUCAAGAAUGCCUACAUCUGCCUGUAGGGGGGACAACGAUCAAAGGAACGCUAAUACCGCAUACCCCUACGAAAGUGGGGUAUCUUCGACCUCACGUAUCAUGACCUACGUCGGAUUAGCUAUGGGGAGUAAAGGCUCACCAAGGCGACGAUCCGUAACUGCUGAAGGAUGAUCAGCACACUGGAACUGAGACACGGUCCAGACUCCUACGGGAGGCAACUCCGGGGAAUAUUGGAAAUGGGAAUCUUCCUGAUCCACCAUGCCGUGAGGAGAAAACGCUUGAGAUUGGAAGACUUUAGAUCGGGAGGACUGGUGCCAAGAAAUACCUUGUGUAUGACGUGUCACAAAAUAAGCCCGUGUAACUUCGCCCGCAUCCCUAAAUACGAAGGGUGCAGAUAUCGGAAUUACUGGGGUCAAACGCGCGGAGGGGUCGUGAGUGGAUGUAAACCCCGGGCUCACGGGAACUGCUUAUAUGAGCUGGUCUGGAGAGUUGGGUAAUCUGUGUACGACAUCUGUAGUGGACCACCACGGGAAGGCACUAACUGCGGUGAGCGAGGGGGAGACGCAGACAUGGGAUCACCUACGAUGCUACCGGGGACUGUAAUGCGCUAAAAGGGUUCAAGCCGUGGAGCACCACAAUCAUUGCGCGACGAUCGACGAUGUGAUUAAUGUCCAUACAUUCAGGAAACUCCGGACUUGCCAUACAUAUCUGCUCGGAACUGACCAUCAUUGUGUCGGAAGUCGUAAAGUCAGA